RNAcentral lists this ribosomal RNA (403 nucleotides) under uncultured bacterium. Its description in RNAcentral is "bacterial SSU rRNA". It matches the Rfam family "Bacterial small subunit ribosomal RNA", at positions 356 to 775 of the family's 1533-position model. The record is from RNAcentral.
AAGGAAUAUUGCACAAUGGGCGAAAGCCUGAUGCAGCAACGCCGCGUGCGCGAUGAAGGCCUUCGGGUCGUAAAGCGCUUUUCUGGGGGAAGAGUAAGGACGGUACCUCAGGAAUAAGUCUCGGCUAACUACGUGCCAGCAGCCACGGUAACACGUAGGAGACAAGCGUUAUCCGGAUUUAUUGGGCGUAAAGGGCAUGUAGGCGGGCUCUUAAGUCGGAUGUGAAAUCUCUUGGCUUAACCGGGAGGGGUCAUUCGAUACUGGGAGUCUUGAGGGCAGGAGAGGGAAGUAGAAUUCCCGGUGUAGUGGUGGAAUACGUAGAUAUCGGGAGGAAUACCAGUGGCGAAAGCGGCUUCCUGGCCUGUGCCUGACGCUGAUAUGCGAAAGCGUGGGUAGCAAACGG